CUUGAUGGAGCCCAGGUGGAGCGGCUGCUCGGCGGAACGGUCCUGACCGUAGGUCGCCAGCAGGGCCUGCGCCUC
Non-coding RNA from Streptomyces sp. SolWspMP-5a-2, 75 nucleotides. Lineage: Bacteria; Bacillati; Actinomycetota; Actinomycetes; Kitasatosporales; Streptomycetaceae. The record is from Rfam.